GUGGGGAAUAUUGGACAAUGGGCGAAAGCCUGAUCCAGCCAUGCCGCGUGUGUGAAGAAGGUCUUCGGAUUGUAAAGCACUUUAAGUUGGGAGGAAGGGCAGUAAGUUAAUACCUUGCUGUUUUGACGUUACCGACAGAAUAAGCACCGGCUAACUUCGUGCCAGCAGCCGCGGUAAUACGAAGGGUGCAAGCGUUAAUCGGAAUUACUGGGCGUAAAGCGCGCGUAGGUGGUUUUGUAAGUUGGAGGUGAAAUCCCCGGGCUCAAACUGGGAACUGCAUGAAAAACUGCAUGACUAGAGUACGGUAGAGGGUAGUGGAAUUUCCUGUGUAGCGGUGAAAUGUGUAGAUAUAGGAAGGAACACCAGUGGCGAAGGCGACUACCUGGACUGAUACUGACACUGAGGUGCGAAAGCGUGGGGAGCAAACAGGAUUAGAAACCCGGGUAGUCC
This 450-nucleotide ribosomal RNA is filed under the name uncultured bacterium. Its description in RNAcentral is "bacterial SSU rRNA". It matches the Rfam family "Bacterial small subunit ribosomal RNA", at positions 354 to 796 of the family's 1533-position model. The record is from RNAcentral.